UAAUACGGAGGGGGCUAGCGUUGUUCGGAAUUACUGGGCGUAAAGCGCACGUAGGCGGCUUUGUAAGUUAGAGGUGAAAGCCCGGGGCUCAACUCCGGAAUUGCCUUUAAGACUGCAUCGCUAGAAUUGUGGAGAGGUAAGUGGAAUUCCGAGUGUAGAGGUGAAAUUCGUAGAUAUUCGGAAGAACACCAGUGGCGAAGGCGACUUACUGGACACAUAUUGACGCUGAGGUGCGAAAGCGUGGGGAGCAAACAGG
RNAcentral lists this ribosomal RNA (256 nucleotides) under uncultured bacterium. RNAcentral's name for it is "partial 16S ribosomal RNA". It matches the Rfam family "Bacterial small subunit ribosomal RNA", at positions 521 to 776 of the family's 1533-position model. The record is from RNAcentral.